GAUGAACGCUGGCGGCGUGCCUAAUACAUGCAAGUCGAGCGAACAGAUGAGGAGCUUGCUCCUCUGACGUUAGCGGCGGACGGGUGAGUAACACGUGGAUAACCUACCUAUAAGACUGGGAUAACUUCGGGAAACCGGAGCUAAUACCGGAUAAUAUAUUGAACCGCAUGGUUCAUUAGUGAAAUACGGUUUUUCUGUCACUUAUAGAUGGAUCCGCGCCGCAUUAGCUAGUUGGUAAGGUAACGGCUUACCAAGGCAACGAUGCGUAGCCGACGUGAGAGGGGGAUCGGCCACACUGGAACUGAGACACGGUCCAGACUCCUACGGGAGGCAGCAGUAGGGAAUCUUCCGCAAUGGGCGAAAGCCUGACGGAGCAACGCCGCGUGAGUGAUGAAGGUCUUCGGAUCGUAAAACUCUGUUAUUAGGGAAGAACAAAUGUGUAAGUAACUAUGCACGUCUUGACGGUACCUAAUCAGAAAGCCACGGCUAACUACGUG
RNAcentral lists this ribosomal RNA (497 nucleotides) under uncultured bacterium. RNAcentral's name for it is "partial 16S ribosomal RNA". It matches the Rfam family "Bacterial small subunit ribosomal RNA", at positions 28 to 507 of the family's 1533-position model. The record is from RNAcentral.